This 200-nucleotide ribosomal RNA is filed under the name uncultured bacterium. RNAcentral's name for it is "partial 16S ribosomal RNA". It matches the Rfam family "Bacterial small subunit ribosomal RNA", at positions 8 to 220 of the family's 1533-position model. The record is from RNAcentral.
AGAGUUUGAUCCUGGCUCAGAUUGAACGCUGGCGGCAUGCCUAACACAUGCAAGUCGAACGAGGGUAGCAAUACCCUAGUGGCGGACGGGUGAGGAAUACGUAGGAAUUUGCCCUUAAGUGGGGGAUAGCCCGGGGAAACCCGGAUUAAUACCGCAUGAUCUCGAAAGAGCAAAGUGGGGGAUCGCAAGACCUCACGCUU